This 579-nucleotide ribosomal RNA is filed under the name Tympanogaster deanei. Its description in RNAcentral is "eukaryotic LSU rRNA". It matches the Rfam family "Eukaryotic large subunit ribosomal RNA", at positions 684 to 1226 of the family's 3401-position model. The record is from RNAcentral. Lineage: Eukaryota; Metazoa; Arthropoda; Insecta; Coleoptera; Hydraenidae.
UGUCGAGUCAUUGGGAUGAGCGAAACCUAAAGGCGAAAUGAAAGUGAAGGCCCGCCUUGCGCGGGCCGAGGACGGAUGGGCGGCGGCACGCCGCCGCCCCGCACGUCCGGGGCGUCCCGAUCUCAUCGCGAGAUGGGGCGCACCCAGAGCGUACACGCUGGGACCCGAAAGAUGGUGAACUAUGCCUGGUCAGGACGAAGUCAGGGGAAACCCUGAUGGAGGUCCGCAGCGAUUCUGACGUGCAAAUCGAUCGUCGGAACUGGGUAUAGGGGCGAAAGACUAAUCGAACCAUCUAGUAGCUGGUUCCCUCCGAAGUUUCCCUCAGGAUAGCUGGCGCUCGCUGUUGCGAGUCUCAUCCGGUAAAGCGAAUGAUUAGAGGCAUUGGGGCCGAAACGGCCUCAACCUAUUCUCAAACUUUAAAUGGGUGAGAUCUCCGGCUUGCUUGAACGAAGCCGCGAGACCUCGGAUCAGAGUGCCAAGUGGGCCACUUUUGGUAAGCAGAACUGGCGCUGUGGGAUGAACCAAACGCCGAGUUAAAGCGCCAAAAUCGACGCUUAUGGGAUACCAUGAAAGGCGUUG